GACGAACGCUGGCGGCGUGCCUAAUACAUGCAAGUCGAGCGGACCAACCAGGAGCUUGCUCUUGUUUGGUUAGCGGCGGACGGGUGAGUAACACGUGGGUAACCUGCCCGUAAGACCGGGAUAACUCCGGGAAACCGGAGCUAAUACCGGAUAACACCGAAGACCGCAUGGUCUUUGGUUGAAAGGCGGCUUCGGCUGCCACUUACGGAUGGGCCCGCGGCGCAUUAGCUAGUUGGUGAGGUAACGGCUCACCAAGGCGACGAUGCGUAGCCGGCCUGAGAGGGUGACCGGCCACACUGGGACUGAGACACGGCCCAGACUCCUACGGGAGGCAGCAGUAGGGAAUCUUCCGCAAUGGACGAAAGUCUGACGGAGCGACGCCGCGUGAGCGAAGAAGGGCUUCGGAUCGUAAAGCUCUGUUGUUAGGGAAGAAGAAGCGCCGUUCGAACAGGGCGGCGCGGUGACGGUACCUAACGAGAAAGCCCCGGCUAACUACGUG
Molecule: ribosomal RNA, 499 nt
Filed under: uncultured bacterium
Lineage: Bacteria
Description: partial 16S ribosomal RNA
Rfam family: Bacterial small subunit ribosomal RNA
Source: RNAcentral